AUGAUAUGUGAUAUGAAGUAUUAUUUAUAUUUACUAUUUAGGAUGUAUGCAUAUAUGUUACUGGCUAGCAUGAUACCGUCUCCUACUGAAUUAAUAGUGAGAAGCCUACCAGCUGAAUUUCAUUCUUACAUCAUAUAUGAUAUGAAGUAUUAUUUAUAUUUACUAUUUAGGAUGUAUGCAUAUAUGUUACUGGCUAGCAUGAUACUGUUAGCGGAAGCUGUAGUGCUUUUUAUGGUCGACGGUGGCAUGCCGCUCCAAGCCACACGCUUAUUUGGUUCUGAUCGGAAGAUAAUUGGACCAGCUAAAGGAGAACUUUCCUGA
RNAcentral lists this ribosomal RNA (321 nucleotides) under Triticum aestivum (bread wheat). Its description in RNAcentral is "partial small subunit ribosomal RNA". Lineage: Eukaryota; Viridiplantae; Streptophyta; Magnoliopsida; Poales; Poaceae. The record is from RNAcentral.